GUGAUGGUGAUCUGGCCAGGACAUCUGUCACCCGACUGAUGGACAGGGGUGGUUCAGCUGGCCUAGCUGACUAGGCAGGAUUGUCUUUUUCCUCCUUCACCA
Molecule: small RNA, 102 nt
Filed under: Salvator merianae (Argentine black and white tegu)
Lineage: Eukaryota; Metazoa; Chordata; Lepidosauria; Squamata; Teiidae
Description: 7SK RNA (ENSSMRG00000009659.1)
Rfam family: 7SK RNA
About the family: 7SK was discovered as an abundant small nuclear RNA in the mid-70s but a possible function has only recently been suggested. Two independent studies have found that 7SK RNA binds the CDK9/cyclin T complex (known as elongation factor P-TEFb).
Source: RNAcentral